CCCUUAAACACCAAUGCAGCACUUGCAAUUUUCAGGAAGAAAACACCUGAGAAGGAUGGGUUUGAGCAGUGAUUUGUUUGGGGUUUUUGUUGCUGCCUAUUUCUCUCAGGCUUAGGAAUUCUCCAUCCAGGAAGAGAGAAGUUUCACCUCAUCCCACAGAAAUCUACCAUGGGAAGUUACAGGUGACAACACACAUGCACCAAGUGAAAGUCCAGCCUUCCACAGCUAAGAUAAAUAGUGACCAUACUGCAAGGCUUUGAAGGUAGGAGAGUGCAAACAGCCUGAAAGAGUUUGCUGUAUCAGUAAAGGGUAGAACUUCUUAGGUUCUCAUGGACUUAGGAUGCUGUGAAAUGAGAUUUGUGUUAGCUAGAGCUGAAUGUUCUAAGCUGGUCUGUGCCUUCAAGAUAAAACAGGAAAAUGCAUAACUUUUUUUUGUUUGUUUGUUUUUUUGUGAGAGAAGGGUUGUAAUGGGAGCAAAAUGCAGUUACAGUGAGUCCACAGCAGGACUUUUCUAUAUAGCCACACUGUCACAAACCCAAGAGAGAAAACCAACAGUUGGCUGAGUGGAACAUUUCGCAGCUGCCAGCAAGGCAUGAUUUUGGAUACUGUCCGUGGGUUGCGCAUCAGUCA
Long non-coding RNA from Pezoporus occidentalis (night parrot), 630 nucleotides. RefSeq lists it as uncharacterized. Lineage: Eukaryota; Metazoa; Chordata; Aves; Psittaciformes; Psittacidae. The transcript is spliced from 3 exons. The record is from RefSeq and is a predicted model, not a curated record.